Molecule: transfer RNA, 73 nt
Filed under: Bracteacoccus minor
Lineage: Eukaryota; Viridiplantae; Chlorophyta; Chlorophyceae; Sphaeropleales; Bracteacoccaceae
Also listed under: 2 other names
Description: tRNA-Pro
Rfam family: tRNA
About the family: Transfer RNA (tRNA) molecules are approximately 80 nucleotides in length. Their secondary structure includes four short double-helical elements and three loops (D, anti-codon, and T loops).
Source: RNAcentral
AGGGAUGUAGCGCAGUUGGUAGCGCGUAUGCUUUGGGAGCAUGAUGUCGCAGGUUCGAAUCCUGUCAUCCCUA